GAUGAACGCUGGCGGCGUGCUUAACACAUGCAAGUCGAACGAAGCACUUUAUUUGAUUUCCUUCGGGACUGAUUAUUUUGUGACUGAGUGGCGGACGGGUGAGUAACGCGUGGGUAACCUGCCUUGUACAGGGGGAUAACAGUUGGAAACGGCUGCUAAUCCCGCAUAAGCGCACAGCAUCGCAUGAUGCAGUGUGAAAAACUCCGGUGGUAUAAGAUGGACCCGCGUUGGAUUAGCUAGUUGGUGAGGUAACGGCCCACCAAGGCGACGAUCCAUAGCCGAGCUGAGAGGGUGACCGGCCACAUUGGGACUGAGACACGGCGCAAACUCCUACGGGAGGCAGCAGUGGGGAAUAUUGCACAAUGGGCGAAAGCCUGAUGCAGCGACGCCGCGUGAGCGAAGAAGUAGUUCGGUAUGUAAAGCUCUAUCAGCAGGGAAGAUAAUGACGGUACCUGACGAAGAAGCACCGGCUAAAUACGUG
This 481-nucleotide ribosomal RNA is filed under the name uncultured bacterium. RNAcentral describes it as "partial 16S ribosomal RNA". It matches the Rfam family "Bacterial small subunit ribosomal RNA", at positions 28 to 507 of the family's 1533-position model. The record is from RNAcentral.